This 2769-nucleotide long non-coding RNA is filed under the name Gossypium barbadense (sea-island cotton). RNAcentral's name for it is "long non-coding RNA (GBAR_LNC001524)". Lineage: Eukaryota; Viridiplantae; Streptophyta; Magnoliopsida; Malvales; Malvaceae. The record is from RNAcentral.
UGAUCCCUUUCGCUGUAUGGCGUGCUCGUUUGGGUUGGGCGUCGGCUAAGAGUGCUCGGAGUGUGGAUUAACUCUAGUCUCCUAUCAGGUGUGUAUUUCUCACUACUCUAGCUGUAGGAUGGCUACUUCGGGCCGCGAUAGGCCGAAAAGGGCCAUGUGGGCCCAAUGGGCCUACGGGCCCAAUUGGAUAAGUUGUUUGAUUGUGUAGUAAAUAUUGGACUAGGCUAGGUGAAUCUUAUAACUGUGGCUAGAUUUGGGCUAAAAAGGCCACACGAACGUGUGGGCCUAUUUGGACCGAGAAGGGCUUUAGGCCCAUUCGUAUUGUUAUCCCUAUUUAGAAUACUUUAGUUUACCAAAUUACUGAAAUGCCCUCGACUUGUAAAAUUACCAAAGUACCCCCAAUUUAUAAAAUUACCCAAAUAUCCUUGAUUUGUAAAAUUACCGAAAUACCUUCAGUUUACAAAAUUACUGAAAUACCCUCAAUUUUGUAAAAUUACUGAAAUACUCCUGUAAGAUAGAAUUACCAUUUUAUGCUCGAUUUAUAGAAUUACCAUUUUACCCUCGAUUUAUAGAAUUAUCGUCUUACCCUCGAUUUAUAAAAUUACCAUUUUACCCUCGAUUUAUAAAAUUACUGAAAUACCCUUGGUUUACAAAAUUACCAAAAUACCCUCGAUCAAUAAAAUUACCAAAAUAGCCCUGGUUUGUAAAAUUACUAAAAUACCCCUUGAUUUGUAAAAUUAUUGAAAUACCCUCGACUCGUAAAAAUUACCAAAGUACCCUCGAUUUAUAGAAUUAUUAUUUCACCCUUGAUUUACAGAAUUACUGUUUUACCCUUGAUUUACAAAAUUACCGUUUUACCCUCGAUUGUGAAAUUACUGAAAUACCCCUAUAGGGUAGAAUUACCAAAACAUCCCUAGUUUGUAAAAUUACCAAAAUACCACUGGUUUCUGAAAUUACUGAAAUACCCUCAAUUUGUAAAAUUACCAAAAUACCCCUAAUUUACAAAAUUACAGAAAUACCCUUGAUUUGUAGAUUUACCAAAACACCCUUGUAGGAUGAAAAGACUAAAAUACCCCUAAUAGGUAAAAAUACCAUAAAGCCUUCGUAAGGUAAAGUGACCGUAAUACCCUUGUAUGGUAAAAUGAUGAAUACGGCCUUAUGUUCCGUAUGACUGAUGUGCUUAGGAUUUACAUAUAUUGAUAUUGGAAUAGUUAAGUUUGAGUGACAGGUGGUGGUUAUCGUAAGUGAUUGAUUAUGGAAACGUUUCAACUUCAACCCGUAACAGGUGUGUACUAACCCUCGUAAUAGCUUAGAUUAAUAUUUGCUGAGAAGCCGAAAUGCUAAAAUACUGGUAUUUCAGGAACUUGUAAUGUUGCGUUUGGGUAUAGAUGCAAUAAAUACGAUAAGAUCGGUGUUUGGAUCGAUGGAACAGGUAAGAACUCAAUUUUGUGCACGAUGGUAAGUUGGGCCUCAAUGGGCUAAAAUUGGGCCCAAUGGGCUUUCGGGCCCAUUUGGGUAAAAUUGAUAGAAAAUGGAAUUUGGAAAAGUUGCACGAUAACACGGUUAGUACUGUUGUAAAAUUUGGAUUAAGCAGGCUUAGUGGGUUAAAUUGGCAUUCAUAGGGCCCAUUAGAGGUUUUGGGCCCAAAAGCCCGAGUUUGAUAAAGUGGGUUAAAGAUCAUUGUUUAAACACUCAGAAAUAUUGAUAAUUGUUGAUGAACAUGGAAAACCCUAAUAUUUGGUAAAAUUAUGAAAUUACCCUUAUAGUAUGAAAAUGACUGUUUUGCCCCUAGGUAAAAAUGACCAUUAUACCCCUAGGGCUUAAUUAUAAAUUUGAUACGUGGGAUAUGAUAUAAAUGAUUGAUAUGAUAUGCACAUGAUAUGUAUAAAAUGCACAUGAUAUGUAUGAAAUGCACAUGAUGUAUUCAUAAAUGCAUUGGGUUGGGUUUUUAUAUGGAUGGAGGAAGUGCAAAAGGGCUUAUGCCCCAGUUUAUUGAAAAGGGCUUAUGCCCUAGUUUAUUGCAAAGGGCUUAUGCCCCAGUUUACCGAAAAGGACUUAUGCCCCAGUUUAUUGAAAAGGGCUUUGCCUCAGUUUACCGAAAAGGGCUUUGCCCCAGUUAUUAAAAGAGGCUAGGCCUCCAGAUAUAUGAUAAAGAAGCUAUGCUGCCAGUGGUGUGUUGGUUGGGUAGGUUGAAUCAUUCCCCACAUGGUUUGUUGGUUGGUACGGGUGGAGAGUAGCGGAUGGUGGGUCGAGUAGUCUCCCCAAAUGGGCUUGCAUACAUUCAUUGGUAUUUCAUAUGAUAUUGAAAUGGGCUUGCAUACAUCCAUUGACACUACAUGUGAUAUUGAAAUGGGCCUAUGGGCCAUACCGUUUACAGUAAAGGCUUCGGCCCAGUGAUAUGAUUUAUGAAAAGGAUUCGACCCUGUAACCGUUAAAAGAAAGGCUUCGGCCCAGUAUAUGUCAAGACUAAAUAAGGCUUUGGCCCAGAUUGUACUGAUACUGUGUUUUCACUGUUUGUAUGUUAUUGGGAUUACACACUGAGUUUUCGUAAAAUCACCCUGUUUCUAACUGUGCAGGAAAUCCCUAAGCUUAGAUGGUUUGGAGCUACGAGGGACUCGGAGAUGGCCACACUACUGUUUCUGUUUCUUUUAAUUGCAAUAAGUAGCCGAUUUAUUUCUUUAUAAGUUUUAUCUUAUUAAUAUUAUUAUUUGGUUUUGGGUUGUAAUAAGGCCAUUUUAAUUAUUUUUCUGGGAUUAUUUUAUUUUAUAC